GCCCGGAUGGCGAAACUGGUAGACGCACCGGACUUAAAAUCCGUCGGCCGCAAGGUCGUGCCGGUUCGAUUCCGGCUCCGGGCACCA
Molecule: transfer RNA, 87 nt
Filed under: Luteimonas sp. 100069
Lineage: Bacteria; Pseudomonadati; Pseudomonadota; Gammaproteobacteria; Lysobacterales; Lysobacteraceae
Also listed under: 1 other name
Description: tRNA-Leu
Rfam family: tRNA
About the family: Transfer RNA (tRNA) molecules are approximately 80 nucleotides in length. Their secondary structure includes four short double-helical elements and three loops (D, anti-codon, and T loops).
Source: RNAcentral